CAUCUAUAGUCAAACUUCUGAAAUCUUAGUAGGCAGAGAUGGGGUAAUGCUUUUACAGGACAAAGAAUGCCAAAGAUUGCCAAUAGACCACCAGAAGCUAGGAUAUUAAUGCUGAGAAAAAACUAACUUUAGUGCAACACACAGAAACAGCAUCAACUAUAAAGUUCUGGACAAAGAAAAAUGUAAUUUCUCCCACACCGAAGCCU
RNAcentral lists this long non-coding RNA (206 nucleotides) under Homo sapiens (human). RNAcentral's name for it is "HSALNT0127468". The record is from RNAcentral. Lineage: Eukaryota; Metazoa; Chordata; Mammalia; Primates; Hominidae.